This is a non-coding RNA of Aegilops tauschii subsp. strangulata, 130 nucleotides long. The record is from RefSeq and is a predicted model, not a curated record. Lineage: Eukaryota; Viridiplantae; Streptophyta; Magnoliopsida; Poales; Poaceae.
CCACCGAUUGCAGCGACCGGCGCCGGCUGACGGCUGGUACAAGGUUCUCCAGACAUGAUAGGCACAUCCGAACAAUCAGAUAACAUGAUUACAUUACAAGGCCAAGAUGCAUUAGCAUGCUCCACUGGUC